This 253-nucleotide ribosomal RNA is filed under the name uncultured bacterium. Its description in RNAcentral is "partial 16S ribosomal RNA". It matches the Rfam family "Bacterial small subunit ribosomal RNA", at positions 524 to 776 of the family's 1533-position model. The record is from RNAcentral.
UACGAAGGGGGCUAGCGUUGCUCGGAAUCACUGGGCGUAAAGGGUGCGUAGGCGGGUUCUUAAGUCAGAGGUGAAAUCUUGGAGCUCAACUCCAGAACUGCCUUUGAUACUGAGAGUCUUGAGUAUGACAGAGGUGAGUGGAACUGCGAGUGUAGAGGUGAAAUUCGUAGAUAUUCGCAAGAACACCAGUGGCGAAGGCGGCUCACUGGGUCAUUACUGACGCUGAGGCACGAAAGCGUGGGGAGCAAACAGG